Molecule: long non-coding RNA, 596 nt
Organism: Tupaia belangeri chinensis (Chinese tree shrew)
Lineage: Eukaryota; Metazoa; Chordata; Mammalia; Scandentia; Tupaiidae
Exons: 2
Source: RefSeq, a predicted model, not a curated record
CCCGCCGGGUCCUGCAGCCCUCCUGGGAUGGGCCCACAACCUCCUCUUCCUCUAGUCCCUGUCUGGGGGCGAGAGGACCUGCAGCUGGACCCGGUCCCUGUAUGGCCCCUUCACUUCCAGUUGUCUUGGUCGCCAGACCCUGUGCCCGCCUGGGUCUCUACUCUGUGAUCAGUCCGUGUAUCACUCUGUAUCUGUUCUCCCACGUCUCGUUCUUUGUCUGGAGAAAGCCGUCACCCACUCCUUUGGCCAUCUCAUUUUGAGAACCCGAGCGUUCUGCGACACUGCCCAGCCGGCACCCACCAGCAAUACCUCUUGUCCCGGCAGGACCAAGGGAGCCGGCCUCCAAUGGUCGGUGCGCCCUCGGAACAAAACCAGACCCCAGCCGCCCCCCACUCCGUGUAGGAAGGACCGCAGUGAAAUUGAGAAGAAACCUUGGGAGUGGGCGACGUUGGAACCAAUGUCUUGUCUCCUGGAGGCCAGUCCGGUGCUCAGACCUUUAGACUUCUUGUUGUUAAGUUGCCACUGCCGAUUGGAGACCAAGUGUGUGACUUGUCAAUUCGCAGUGAGACAGCAUUAAAGACUGAUGCCAAACCUCA